This 254-nucleotide ribosomal RNA is filed under the name uncultured bacterium. RNAcentral's name for it is "partial 16S ribosomal RNA". It matches the Rfam family "Bacterial small subunit ribosomal RNA", at positions 524 to 776 of the family's 1533-position model. The record is from RNAcentral.
UACGUAGGGACCAAGCGUUGUUCGGAUUUACUGGGCGUAAAGGGCGCGUAGGCGGCCACCGCAAGUCGGUUGUGAAAUCUCUGGGCUUAACCCAGAAAGGUCAACCGAUACUGCGGGGCUAGAGUGCAGAAGGGGCAACUGGAAUUCUCGGUGUAGCGGUGAAAUGCGUAGAUAUCGAGAGGAACACCUGCGGCGAAGGCGGGUUGCUGGGCUGACACUGACGCUGAAGCGCGAAAGCUAGGGGAGCGAACGGG